Molecule: long non-coding RNA, 772 nt
Filed under: Nicotiana benthamiana
Lineage: Eukaryota; Viridiplantae; Streptophyta; Magnoliopsida; Solanales; Solanaceae
Description: long non-coding RNA (NBEN_LNC003284)
Source: RNAcentral
ACGGAGGAAGACUUGCCAUUACUAGUACACAACAGGGUAGAUCAUCCACUAGUUGUGCACCUGCGUAUGUCACUGGUCCCGGGUUGGAGCUGACGUAUGACUGAUGAACCCAAAAUGAAGAUUCUCCUUUGGUACUGCCGGGGGUGCAGCAACUAAGAAUUCUGGAACAAUUUCAAAGACAUUCUCAACUCGAACUAUCCUUUUUUUCCUCACUAAAACGCACAUAUAGAGCUACUACGAGCUCAUGGAAUUUAUUGGUUUCACUGACUUAUUUGAAAUUAGAGCAGAUGGCUACUCAGGUGGAGUCGUGCUAAUGUGGAAGCAUGAAGAGUUGGAGAUGGAUCCAGUAGCAGUUACUGACCAGGAGAUCCAUGCAAACAUCCAGGUAAGUAGAACUUCAAAACCUUGGCUAGUUUCCUUAGUUUAUGCCAGCACUUUAUUAAUAAAUAGAAAAAUUCUAUGAAAUAAUCCACAAAUAGUUGCUAAAAAUAAUACCAACCCCUGAUUAUUAUGUGGAGACUUUAAUGACAUCAGAACUGCCUCCAAAAGUAUAGAUGUAGGCCCAAGAAGUACUUCUUUUUAUAUUGUCUUGAUGCUACUGAUAUGACUGACUUGGGUUUUGUGUGUCCACGCUUUAGAUGGACAAAUAAAAGAAAAAAACAGCAGCAACAAAUCUUGGAAAGAUUGGACAGAUUUCUUGAAAACUCGGACUGGGUGGAAAUGUUCCCGGAUGCCACUAUCACAGACAUGCCACAUACACAUCCAGACCACU